This 251-nucleotide ribosomal RNA is filed under the name uncultured prokaryote. RNAcentral's name for it is "partial 16S rRNA". It matches the Rfam family "Bacterial small subunit ribosomal RNA", at positions 525 to 775 of the family's 1533-position model. The record is from RNAcentral.
ACGUAGGGUGCGAGCGUUAAUCGGAAUUACUGGGCGUAAAGCGUGCGCAGGCGGUUCUGUAAGUCUGAUGUGAAAUCCCCGGGCUCAACCCGGGAACUGCAUUUGAAACUGCAAGACUAGAGUGUUGGAGAGGGUGGGGGAAUUCCACGUGUAGCGGUGAAAUGCGUAGAGAUGGGGAGGAAUACCGGUGGCGAAGGCGGCCAUCUGGACGAUUACUGACGCUGAUGCGCGAAAGCGUGGGGAGCAAACAG